AAUGAACGUUGGCGGCAUGCUUUACACAUGCAAGUCGAACGGUAACAGGGAGCUUGCUCCGCUGACGAGUGGCGAACGGGUGAGUAAUGCGUCGGAACGUGCCGAGUAGUGGGGGAUAACGCAGCGAAAGUUGUGCUAAUACCGCAUACGUACUGAGGUAGAAAGUGGGGGACCUUCGGGCCUCACGCUAUUCGAGCGGCCGACGUCUGAUUAGCUAGUAGGUGAGGGAAAGGCUCACCUAGGCGACGAUCAGUAGCGGGUCUGAGAGGAUGAUCCGCCACACUGGGACUGAGACACGGCCCAGACUCCUACGGGAGGCAGCAGUGGGGAAUUUUGGACAAUGGGCGAAAGCCUGAUCCAGCCAUGCCGCGUGUCUGAAGAAGGCCUUCGGGUUGUAAAGGACUUUUGUCGGGGAGGAAAUCCCCAGCGCUAAUACCGCUGGGGGAUGACAGUACCUGAAGAAUAAGCACCGGCUAACUACGUGCCAGCAGCCGCUGUAA
RNAcentral lists this ribosomal RNA (500 nucleotides) under uncultured bacterium. RNAcentral describes it as "partial 16S ribosomal RNA". It matches the Rfam family "Bacterial small subunit ribosomal RNA", at positions 29 to 523 of the family's 1533-position model. The record is from RNAcentral.